This 607-nucleotide unclassified non-coding RNA is filed under the name Hevea brasiliensis (rubber tree). Lineage: Eukaryota; Viridiplantae; Streptophyta; Magnoliopsida; Malpighiales; Euphorbiaceae. The record is from RNAcentral.
GGUAGUGAGACUAUAUUGCAAGGCUUGUAUCUUGGUUGUCCGCAAAAUUUGCAUCCAGUUAAAGUACUACCUUCCUCCCAAUAUAUCAUACAAUCAAAUUUGCAGCAGUCAAUUUUUCCACAGUUAGACCCAACCCUCGUACAAGCUUUUUUUGUCUUGCAAAAACUGUCAACAAACUAAUUUUCAUCUAGUAAUACUUCAUUCACAAAAUUCACAAUUUGGUGGUAGCAUUUUUCGGACAAAUGAUUUUUCGACUUAAUAUGCAACCCGAGCUACGGCAGACAAUUGUGAAUGCAUCUCACAACCAGACCACAAUUCCUCUUUAGCUGCUUUUAGCAUGUCAUAAAAUUUUUGUGCUUUUAGAUUCGAUAGGUCUUCCAUAUUAUUUCAAAGGAGCAUCAGCUGCAAUGUUUUCAAAAUGAGGACCAACAACAUCAAACACCAUAUUACGGCAUGGGUUAUUGUCGCCCUGGAAACGUUCUUGACUUGGUACAUUGACCUCAUUAGCAUAUGUUGAAGAACUCAAUGAUUCACCUUGUGCACUCCAUUCUAGAUAAUUCAGUCUAAACCCCUUACUAACAAAAUGAAAUUUGACAUCAUCCACAGG